UUGUCUCAAAGAUUAAGCCAUGCAUGUCUCAGUACAAGCCAAAUUAAGGUGAAACCGCGAAAGGCUCAUUAAAUCAGUUAUGGUUCCUUAGAUCGUACCCACAUUUACUUGGAUAACUGUGGUAAUUCUAGAGCUAAUACAUGCAAACAGAGCUCCAACCGGAGGACGGAAGGAGUGCUUUUAUUAGAACAAAACCAAUCGGCGGGGUGUUCGCUUGGGUUCACGUUCGCCGCCCAACUUGGUGACUCUGAAUAACUUUACGCUGAUCGCACGGUCUUGCACCGGCGACGCAUCUUUCAAAUGUCUACCUUAUCAACUGUCGAU
This 324-nucleotide ribosomal RNA is filed under the name Carabus punctatoauratus. RNAcentral describes it as "SSU rRNA". It matches the Rfam family "Eukaryotic small subunit ribosomal RNA", at positions 32 to 326 of the family's 1831-position model. The record is from RNAcentral. Lineage: Eukaryota; Metazoa; Arthropoda; Insecta; Coleoptera; Carabidae.